CCUACGGGGGGCAGCAGUGAGGAAUAUUGGUCAAUGGGCGAGAGCCUGAACCAGCCAAGUCGCGUGAAGGAAGAAGGUUCUAUGGAUUGUAAACUUCUUUUGUAAGGGAAUAAAAAGUGGUACGUGUACCAUAUUGUAUGUACUUUACGAAUAAGGAUCGGCUAACUCCGUGCCAGCAGCCGCGGUAAUACGGAGGAUCCGAGCGUUAUCCGGUUUUAUUGGGUUUAAAGGGGGCGUUGAAGGCAGUGGUGAAAGUUUGCAGCUCAACUGUAAAAUUGCCAUUGAAACUGAUUUUCUUGAGUGUAAAUAAGGUAGGCGGAAUGUGUUGUGUAGCGGUGAAAUGCUUAGAUAUAACACAGAACACCAAUUGCGAAGGCAGCUUACUGGGAUACAACUGACGCUGAGGCACGAAAGCGUGGGGAUCAAACAGGAUUAGAUACCCGGGUAGUC
This 450-nucleotide ribosomal RNA is filed under the name uncultured bacterium. RNAcentral describes it as "partial 16S ribosomal RNA". It matches the Rfam family "Bacterial small subunit ribosomal RNA", at positions 338 to 795 of the family's 1533-position model. The record is from RNAcentral.